GGAACAAAUAAUAGUAGUAGUAAUGCUCUUAUGAGACUACCACCUUCUAAGGCAAUAAGAAAGAAAUAUGGAAAUGAACUUGUUGAUAUUAAGAGUGUUCCAUCUAAAUCAGAUGCAAUUGUUUGAUUUGAUCUAUUAAUUUCUUUGUUAUAUUUUGAGAUUGGUUCAAUAUGGGGAUGAGCACCCAUUAGAGAGAAUUGUAUGAUUGUUUGUUGGGUGGGGGGAGGAAUUGAAUGAGCUAGAGAUUGUGUGUUUG
RNAcentral lists this unclassified non-coding RNA (256 nucleotides) under Hevea brasiliensis (rubber tree). Lineage: Eukaryota; Viridiplantae; Streptophyta; Magnoliopsida; Malpighiales; Euphorbiaceae. The record is from RNAcentral.